ACUCCUGCGGGAGGCAGCAGUAGGGAAUCUUCCACAAUGGGUGCAAACCUGAUGGAGCAAUGCCGCGUGAGUGAAGAAGGUCUUCGGAUCGUAAAGCUCUGUUGUUAGAGAAGAACACGUGCUAGGUAACUACUAGCGCCUUGACGGUAUCUAACCAGAAAGUCACGGCUAACUACGUGCCAGCAGCCGCGGUAAUACGUAGGUGACAAGCGUUGUCCGGAUUUAUUGGGCGUAAAGGGAGCGCAGGCGGUCUGUUUAGUCUAAUGUGAAAGCCCACGGCUUAACCGUGGAACGGCAUUGGAAACUGACAGACUUGAAUGUAGAAGAGGAAAAUGGAAUUCCAAGUGGAGCGGUGGAAUGCGUAGAUAUUUGGAGGAACACCAGUGGCGAAGGCGAUUUUCUGGUCUAACAUUGACGCUGAGGCUCGAAAGCGUGGGGAGCGAACAGGAUUAGAAACCCCAGUAGUCCC
This 469-nucleotide ribosomal RNA is filed under the name uncultured organism. Its description in RNAcentral is "partial 16S ribosomal RNA". It matches the Rfam family "Bacterial small subunit ribosomal RNA", at positions 335 to 797 of the family's 1533-position model. The record is from RNAcentral.